This 113-nucleotide ribosomal RNA is filed under the name Microbulbifer thermotolerans. RNAcentral describes it as "16S rRNA. Bacterial SSU". It matches the Rfam family "Bacterial small subunit ribosomal RNA", at positions 1 to 111 of the family's 1533-position model. Lineage: Bacteria; Pseudomonadati; Pseudomonadota; Gammaproteobacteria; Cellvibrionales; Microbulbiferaceae. The record is from RNAcentral.
UUAAACUGAAGAGUUUGAUCAUGGCUCAGAUUGAACGCUGGCGGCAGGCCUAACACAUGCAAGUCGAGCGCGAAAGUUCCUUCGGGAAUAAGUAGAGCGGCGGACGGGUGAGU